AAUACAUCUUAGCAGAAAUGCAUUUAUCUGGUUGCCUUAUGCUCUUUCAAACCAUUCUUUGAUUUAACUUAACUGCGUUUUUACUGUCAUGUAAACAGUUUUUAGUAAUAAAAAAGCAUCUUCAAUUUGGCUGUUCUAACUCUUCUGGUUCAGCCGUGAUAAAGCAGGGAGAUGAGGUAUAUUUCUGCUUCCUUAUUGCUGGACAAAGUAUUAGAUGGCCAGCCAGACAUAUUUCUAUUAGAAGUGGUGGUGUUAAUUUUAGAAAGCUGGAAAACAGAAUAACAACCUCAAUUGAUGAAAAGCACUAGUGAAAGAAGAGGAGAGCUGCUCUAUGUGAUCAGACAUUGCUCUUUACAUGUUACCAUCUUUUGCAAUUCCUCACCCAGAUCACUAAAGAAAUACAUAAAUAUUUUUUCUAGAAAUAUGUUGAAGUUUAUUAAAAUUUUGAUACAUCUUAAGAUGGCCUCAAUACAAUUGUUACUGAUAAUAAAUAUUUUAACUAAGGUUCAGAAAAUCAGAAUGCGUAGUAUCUUCAAACUGGUAAAUUUUAUUUUCUGCCAUUCUUGUCAGCCUACUCAGCUUUUACCACCAAGUGUCUAUGAUCUAGGUCAGUCAGGACACAGUCAAGGGAUGUCGGAGCUGCUGUGGUCAGCGAGGGGACAAUAAAAAAGGAAGUAAGAGGUUACAAAAAUUCCUGUUAGCAUGGUGAUAACCUUUGGACUAAAACUUAAGAUGACUGAAGAUCUAGAACCUCUCCAGACAAACUACAAUCGAAAAUGAGAGAGUAAAGUAUAGCAUAUCCAUAUUGUGCGGUAAUAUGCAGCCAUUAAAAAUGAAGAUGCUGAAGACCUCACGAUGAUAUGGGAAGUACUUGUGCUAUAAUGUUAUGUUAAAAAGAUCACAACAUACAAUCAAAUAUCAGAUGAUACCUGGAACAGAACAGCUAGUGGAAGGAGACACACAAAGAUGUUAAUAAUGAGUGGUUUCAGGUUACAGGAGAACAGGAGAGUUUUCUUUCUCUGUUAGUAAGUUUUUUCUACAUUUGGAAAUUUCUUUAAUAAGCAUAUAUUUUAUAACUAUAUUUUUAACUAUAAUAAGUAUAUAUUUUAUAACUAAAAUUUCUCAGUGUGGUUUCUAAAAAUGCAACUGGCUGCUCAGACAUAUUAGAAUCGUGGGAAGGGAAAAGAAAUCAGGAAUGAUGUUAGAAGAACAAGUUAGAGUUUGAAUCAGGUGAAGAUUGAAUUGGGUGGAGAACAAUUUAGAGAUAGCUAAGUCCUAGCCUGGAAAACAGGAGUCUCAUUAAUAUGUUCAAGCGCCAUAUUUACUAUGCUGAAAGGGUCAACAUUUAACAGAAGUUAUACUUUUUUGAAAAUUCUGGUCUUACAAUGGCAUGGAAAAAAAGGAAAAGAAAAAUAGAGCAAGGAGAUGGGAAUCAGAAUGCAAGUGUGAGGAAAGGAGUGGGCAUAGUAGUAAAUAAAUUUGUCAGGUAGGCCUCCAUGUGAGAGUGAAAUUUAAGAAAGUCUUUGAGAGAGGUGGGGUUAAUCAAGUGGAUAUAUGACCGAAACAGUUUUAAAUAAAUUGACAUAUUGCUUACUUUUGUGAAAGCUUCUAGAAUUCUAGUACACUAAUGCAAGCAACCACUUGACUUCUUUGGAACAUUUACACAUGUGACCCCGCGACACUCAUAAUAAAAGUUGGUUUCUAUUCUGGGUUGCUGGCUGAAAUUAUUAUUCUAUUAGGAUUUCGUUCUAUAUUAUUGUUAUUAACAUUUUGGGAGUUACCAAGAGAAACUGCUCAAUGAUAGCAGCCUCAUUAAUUCCUCCAGUGAAACACUUAAAAAUUUCAUUGAUCUUGGUUCCAAAUACAUCAAAAUGCUGUAUCACAGUUUUGUUGAACUAUUAACCCUAUUGGCAUUUUCAAGUGAAUAAGCUUAUUCCCAGUUCAAAAGUUCUUGUUCUUGAGCUCCAGGUACAAUAAAGGAACAGCAAAACUGACCUACCUAGAUUAUAUAGGAAAACUUUAUUUAAGCUUCUUACUCAUUUUUUUGUAUUUACUUCUAUUUUCUACAUUAUGAAUAUGCUACUGGUCAUUUAUUUGUCUUUAAAAUAUUAAAAUUUAGGGGCCGGCCCAGUGGCAUAGUGGCUAAGUUCACACGCUCCACUUUGGCAGCCCAGGGUUCACAGGUUUGGAUCCCAGGCACAGACAUAGCACCACUCAUCAAGCCACGCUGUGGCAGCGUCCCAGAUAAAAUAGAGGAAGAGUGGCCAGAUGUUAGCUCAGCAACCAUCUUUCUCAAGCAAAAAGAGGAAGAUUCGCAGUAGAUGUUAGCUCAGGGCUAAUCUUCUUCACUAAAAAGAAAAAUUAAAAUUUAUACACACACAUACAGAGUAAGGAAAUCUCAACAAUAAAAACUUUAAUGAAUGUAAAGUUUACUGUACAAAAGCCUUAGGUCCUAAUUCAUUACUCUAAGACUAGUUAAAUUCACAAGUAAAUAAAUGACUUUCUAAACUGGCUCUCAGGUUUUGCUCUGGGGAUCUUGAAUGAGUUUUAUUCCAAUCCCAGAGAAGACCUACAUAAAUUAUAGUUUCUGACAUGAAAUAUGUAUAUAUUUUCUCCAUGUGAUUGAAAUGAACCACAUUAAUUUGUAAACAAUUACUUAUGUUUAUUAUUGGACCACAUGAUAUGUAAGUCCAUCUGGUUCUGAUUCAAAUACACAGUAACUAUAGUAUAUGCAGUCUUGUAUAACAAAGGCUUCCAUUCGACGUGUCACUAUUGAGGACCAUUAGGAGCAUGUAAUAUUCUAGCUAUUUCCCAG
Molecule: long non-coding RNA, 2815 nt
Organism: Equus caballus (horse)
Lineage: Eukaryota; Metazoa; Chordata; Mammalia; Perissodactyla; Equidae
Source: Ensembl